RNAcentral lists this unclassified non-coding RNA (256 nucleotides) under Hevea brasiliensis (rubber tree). Lineage: Eukaryota; Viridiplantae; Streptophyta; Magnoliopsida; Malpighiales; Euphorbiaceae. The record is from RNAcentral.
AAGAGUCUCUAAUCUCCUAGAAUAGACAUGAACAAUGGGAGGACAAACAGGUACAUGGCUGGUGGAGCUGGAGGAUUCUAAAGACUGGACAACUAUUGGACAAUGUAAACCAAGAGAUCAUCUAAUUCUCCCUAAUUUUCAUAAGUAGAUGAUGGAGGAAAGAAUAGAGUAGACUAAAAAAAAAAAAGUAACAUUUGCAUAUACAAGAUAACGACUAAGAGUUAGAGAAAAAUAUCAGUACACUUUUUAACGCCAG